AAUAAUAAUAAUAAUAAUAAUAAAUAUAGCUGCAAGCAGCAAUAACGGGGCCAAGCACUACAGAAGCAAGCUUCAGACGAACGGCAGGAAUGAGUAAUUAAGACAGUUUUAAGAUUAUUUUAGGCAAAAUGGCUUGAAAACAAUAAACACAACAACUAGUAAUAGGAUUUAUUGGCUUAUCACGUGUAACCAAUAGGUGGCGCUGUUACCAAAUUAGUUUGGAAUGGUCAGUGUGAGGUGACGAUGACACAUACAAAGUUUGGUGCAAAUAUGUCAAAGCUUUGCAGAGAUACAGCCUCAAAUGCAUUUUGGCACCCUUCCAGCAGUUUCGUUGAUGCGCUAAAUGAGAACCGCUUCGUAUAUCGAUACGAAAUCUAUAACAUUUUGCCAGGAUGGUCUGAAGAUGAUCCACGUCAAAUUUGGUGAAAAUCAGACAAACGGUCUAGGAGGAGUUCGAAAAAGUAGGUUUUCAACAUUCAUCAAAAUGGCGGACAGGAAGUUCAGCCAAAUAAAAAGAACUUUAUAUCUAUUUUCUCGGCGUGACCCAAGGAGUCUAAGAAGACCAGCAUCAUGUCAAUACCCAGAUUUAUUCAAAAGUUAUUAGCCUUUAUGUAAAUUGAGUUAUAACUUUUGACCACUAGGUGGCGCUGUUUCAAAAUAUUUUGAGUACCUUCAGGGGAUGGUGUUGUUGACACAUUCUGAGUUUCGUAAUAUUACACUAAUGCAUUUGUUUAGUAUAGCAUUUUAUUUCACAAAACUGUAUUGAAGUCAAUGAGAAUUUCAUGUUUUGUUCUAUUAUAGCGCCACCAAGAGGCUCAGUCCCACCAUUUUUUUUAUGUUUGCUCAGAGUGAGCCCAUACAUAUGUGUGUCAAUUUUGGUGAAAAUAUCUCAAUUCACUUCAGAGUUAUGGGCAUUUAUAUGAAAAAGCAUGUAAAAAUUGACUGACUCUUGACUUUGAUUGAAUAUUACUACCCCUUACUAUCAAUAUUUUGGCAUUUGGGCAUUGGCGUAUAGCUAUCGACCUAUGUUUCCGAACUUCUGACGGUGGUUUCGUCUCGAUCAGACAAGCGGUUUCAAAGAUAUAGCCAGAUGUUUUUUAAGCGCUAAAUCACAACGCUACACAAACCGUAAGGCAAAACCUAGCAUGUUUGGUAUUGUAGGACUCUGUAAGGUUUCAGGAGUCCAAUUUGAUGAGUCUGGUGAAAAUACGUCGACCACACCCAAAGUUAUAAGCAUUUAAAAAUAGAAGAUCACCACUAGGUGGCGCUGUUUCGAAACUUCUCAUACUCCUUCAGGACAUUGUGCUGAUGACCCAUACCAUGUUUCGUAACAAUCCGUUGAUGUGUUCAGAAAAUACAGCAUUUUAGCACAAAAUUCAAAAUGGCCGACAGUCAAAAUGGCCAAAAUGGUCAAAUUGGAUAUCAGUCGACUCGGCAUGUUGCCCUGAAUCUAACAAGACCAAUGUUAUGAUUUUUGGACAAACUGUUCAGAAGUUAUAAGCAAAAAUAGCAGUUUUUCAUAUCUCCGGAUCAGUAGGUGGCGCUGCACCCAAUCACAGCAUGUUGCCUCAGGUCAUGCUUGUUAUGACAUGUACCAAGUUUGGUCUGAAUAGGAUAAGUCGUUGCCGAGAUACAGCCUUACAACUGUUUUUGUAAGCACUACAUAAAAUUUGUUAGAGCGUUUAUCGAAAACGGUUUGACGAAUCAAUUUGAUUUGCAUAACUUUUGGUCAGCACUGCCUGAGGAUGAUAUGGUUUAAUUUUCGUGUGAAUCGGACAAACCGUCUAGGACGAGUUCGAAAAAGUAGGUUUUUAAAGAAAUUCAAAAUGGCGGUCAUAUUUCUAUGACGGAAAUGACUUCGUAGGGUGCAAUCGAAUCGGCAUGAGCUCAGAAAUCAGAAGAAAAAAGAAUUUCGUUGAUUGGCCUUAGGGUUAAAAAGUUAUUAACAAAAUUAAAGUGAAAUUUUGGACAGUUGGUGGCGCUAGAGGGAUUGACUUAGACACACCAAAAUUGGUGUACUUAAUGUUGGCACUGUCCUCUAUCAGAAUGUCAAACCAUUACAACUUUCCCGCAUUCGGUUCUAUGGGCUGCCAUAGACGCCCAGUCGGAAGAAUAAUAAUAAUAAAUAUAGCUGCAAGCAGCAAUCACGGGGCCAAGCAUUCCAGCGGCAACAUCAGGAGCUAAGCAUAUGUAGCAUCAGACCAAAUGCA
Carassius gibelio (silver crucian carp) is the source of this 2210-nucleotide long non-coding RNA. RefSeq lists it as uncharacterized. The record is from RefSeq and is a predicted model, not a curated record. Lineage: Eukaryota; Metazoa; Chordata; Actinopteri; Cypriniformes; Cyprinidae. The transcript has 3 exons.